UGGUGGAGUGAUUUGUCUGGUUAAUUCCGAUAACGAACGAGACCUUAACCUGCUAAAUAGUUGGCGUAUGUUUUCAUAUGACCAACUUCUUAGAGGGACUAACUACUUUUAUGGUUGGAAGUUUGAGGCAAUAACA
Molecule: ribosomal RNA, 136 nt
Filed under: uncultured eukaryote
Lineage: Eukaryota
Description: partial 18S ribosomal RNA
Rfam family: Eukaryotic small subunit ribosomal RNA
Source: RNAcentral